GGGCCUAUAGCUCAGUUGGUAGAGCUACGGACUUUUAAUCCGCAGGUCUUGGGUUCGAGUCCCAAUGGGCCCACAA
This 76-nucleotide transfer RNA is filed under the name Corynebacterium callunae DSM 20147. RNAcentral's name for it is "tRNA-Lys". It matches the Rfam family "tRNA". From Rfam's summary of the family: Transfer RNA (tRNA) molecules are approximately 80 nucleotides in length. Their secondary structure includes four short double-helical elements and three loops (D, anti-codon, and T loops). The record is from RNAcentral. Lineage: Bacteria; Bacillati; Actinomycetota; Actinomycetes; Mycobacteriales; Corynebacteriaceae.